This 497-nucleotide ribosomal RNA is filed under the name uncultured bacterium. RNAcentral's name for it is "partial 16S ribosomal RNA". It matches the Rfam family "Bacterial small subunit ribosomal RNA", at positions 28 to 507 of the family's 1533-position model. The record is from RNAcentral.
GACGAACGCUGGCGGCGUGCCUAAUACAUGCAAGUAGAACGCUGAAGCUUGGUGCUUGCACCGAGCGGAUGAGUUGCGAACGGGUGAGUAACGCGUAGGUAACCUGCCUGGUAGCGGGGGAUAACUAUUGGAAACGAUAGCUAAUACCGCAUAAGAGUAGAUGUUGCAUGACAUUUGCUUAAAAGGUGCAAUUGCAUCACUACCAGAUGGACCUGCGUUGUAUUAGCUAGUUGGUGAGGUAACGGCUCACCAAGGCAACGAUACAUAGCCGACCUGAGAGGGUGGUCGGCCACACUGGGACUGAGACACGGCCCAGACUCCUACGGGAGGCAGCAGUAGGGAAUCUUCGGCAAUGGACGGAAGUCUGACCGAGCAACGCCGCGGGAGGGAAGAAGGUUUUCGGAUCGUAAAGCUCUGUUGUAAGGGAAGAACGAGUGUGAGAGUGGAAAGUUCACACUGUGACGGUAUCUUACCAGAAAGGGACGGCUAACUACGUG